GACGAACCGUGCAAACGUUAUUCGGAAUCACUGGGCUUAAAGCGCGUGUAGGCGGGCCGGCACGUCGGUCGCUGAAAUCCCCCGGCUCAACCGGGGAAGCGGCGCCGAUACGACCGGCCUGGAGGGGCGUAGGGGGACCUGGAACUUCCGGUGGAGCGGUGAAAUGCGUUGAGAUCGGAAGGAACGCCCGUGGCGAAAGCGGUUCUCUGGGCCUGUACUGACGCUGAGGAGCGAAAGCGUGGGGAGCAAACAGG
This 254-nucleotide ribosomal RNA is filed under the name uncultured bacterium. RNAcentral describes it as "partial 16S ribosomal RNA". It matches the Rfam family "Bacterial small subunit ribosomal RNA", at positions 524 to 776 of the family's 1533-position model. The record is from RNAcentral.